GGGCCCUGGUUCGGUUCCAGGUCGCGGCA
RNAcentral lists this unclassified non-coding RNA (29 nucleotides) under Dictyostelium discoideum. Lineage: Eukaryota; Evosea; Eumycetozoa; Dictyosteliales; Dictyosteliaceae. The record is from RNAcentral.